This 519-nucleotide ribosomal RNA is filed under the name Salmonella enterica. RNAcentral describes it as "partial 23S ribosomal RNA". It matches the Rfam family "Bacterial large subunit ribosomal RNA", at positions 1239 to 1757 of the family's 2925-position model. RNAcentral also lists the same sequence under 1 other name. Lineage: Bacteria; Pseudomonadati; Pseudomonadota; Gammaproteobacteria; Enterobacterales; Enterobacteriaceae. The record is from RNAcentral.
UUCUGUAAGCCUGUGAAGGUGGCCUGUGAGGGUUGCUGGAGGUAUCAGAAGUGCGAAUGCUGACAUAAGUAACGAUAAAGCGGGUGAAAAGCCCGCUCGCCGGAAGACCAAGGGUUCCUGUCCAACGUUAAUCGGGGCAGGGUGAGUCGACCCCUAAGGCGAGGCCGAAAGGCGUAGUCGAUGGGAAACGGGUUAAUAUUCCCGUACUUGGUGUUACUGCGAAGGGGGGACGGAGAAGGCUAUGUUGGCCGGGCGACGGUUGUCCCGGUUUAAGCGUGUAGGUGUGUGUUCCAGGUAAAUCCGGUUCACUUUAACACUGAGGCGUGAUGACGAGGCACUACGGUGCUGAAGCAACAAAUGCCCUGCUUCCAGGAAAAGCCUCUAAGCAUCAGGUAACAUCAAAUCGUACCCCAAACCGACACAGGUGGUCAGGUAGAGAAUACCAAGGCGCUUGAGAGAACUCGGGUGAAGGAACUAGGCAAAAUGGUGCCGUAACUUCGGGAGAAGGCACGCUGACAC